ACUCAAAUGAAUUGACGGGGACCCACACAAGCGGUGGAGCAUGGGGUUUAAUUCGAUAAUAAGCGGAGAACCUCACCCAGACUUGACAUCUAGAGAACCCUCUGGAAACAGGGGGGUGCCGCAAGGAACUCUAAGACAGGCGCUGCACGGUCGUCGUCAGCUCGUGCCUUGAGGUGUACUGUUAAGUCAGCGAACGAGCGCAACCCUCAUCCUAUGUUGUUUUUUCAUGGGAGACUGCCGCCUCCAAGGCGGAGGAAGGUGGGGAUGACGUCAGAUCAGCGUGGCCCUUAUGUCUGGGGCAACACCCAUGCUACAAUGGUCGGUACAGAGGGCAGCAAACCCGCGAGGGCUAGCCAAUCCCAAAAAACCGAUCUCAGUUCGGAUUGAAGGCUGCAACUCGCCUUCAUGAAGUUGGAAUCGCUAGUAAACGUGAAUCAGCUAUGUCACGUUGAAUAAGUUCCUGGGUCUUGUACACACCGCCCGU
RNAcentral lists this ribosomal RNA (484 nucleotides) under uncultured bacterium. RNAcentral's name for it is "partial 16S ribosomal RNA". It matches the Rfam family "Bacterial small subunit ribosomal RNA", at positions 899 to 1397 of the family's 1533-position model. The record is from RNAcentral.